RNAcentral lists this long non-coding RNA (531 nucleotides) under Phoenix dactylifera (date palm). Its description in RNAcentral is "long non-coding RNA (PDAC_LNC021508)". Lineage: Eukaryota; Viridiplantae; Streptophyta; Magnoliopsida; Arecales; Arecaceae. The record is from RNAcentral.
GCUAAUGAACUGAAGUGCAAGAAGGAAUAUACACCUCACCUCUUGCUAAGUUGCAUCGCUAGUAGAAUCUCCUUCUCCAUCAACAAUUAUUUUCCCCCAACCAAAAUGGGACGCAGAAGGAUUAGAAAUUCCAUGAAACAUUAAUAUAACAAUCACAUGAUUAGUUUUUUUACAUUAUUGUAACUUCUCCAAGUUGAAAGUUAUUUCUUUUCAAUCUUGCAGCAAAAACUUGCACUCAACUUAGCUCAGCAUGUGAAGAGACUCAAUGACUGAAGGCAUCACUCAGAACUUACAUGUCUGAACCUUCAUGGCAUCCAUCAUAAGCUAUCUCAAUUAAAAUUAAAACAAAACGCAGGGUUCCAGUGCACAACGUGCAAAUUCAGAUCCACAAAAACAGAAAAUAGCUUAUUUACAGAAGAAAAUAUUCGACACUUAGAUUAAUGUUGAAACAAUUUAAGAUCAUGCAAAAUAUUCAAAGAUAAAAAACAGCAAAGAUAAGAGCUUCCUCUUGGGAAACUAAUCCGUGAGUUC